This is a long non-coding RNA of Wasmannia auropunctata (little fire ant), 1654 nucleotides long. RefSeq lists it as uncharacterized. NCBI's taxonomy places the organism in Eukaryota, Metazoa, Arthropoda, Insecta, Hymenoptera, Formicidae. The record is from RefSeq and is a predicted model, not a curated record. The transcript is spliced from 2 exons.
AGACGGUAGAUUUUUUGUGCCCUCUUUCUCGGAUUAAAUCCUCUUUCAACUGUUUUUGGUCGAUUAUUUAUUCCAACGCAAACAUCGACAUCGGCGCCAGCGCGACGUCCGGAUAAACCACGCGCGGAGGCCUUCGCCUCCGGAACGAAGAAAUCAUGCGAAUUUAGUGCCCCGUUUGUUCCAGCUUUCUACAAUACGCACACUGCCAUCUUUCAUUCGCUCGAGCUGCCUGCACGCAGCCCCGCGUUCGGCCCACUCGGUUCCACUGUGUGCCGCUGCAUAAGGUGCCCUUGUGCGCGCUCCGAAUGCUCGAUUUGCAUGGCAUUCGUCUCUUCAUUUUUGCCGAGUGUAUCGUGCGCUCGUCGCGUUGAGCUCGCGAGCCAGGUGCAUCGGUGCUUAAGUGGAAUUAACGUGAAUGAUGGGGCCCAGAUAAAGCUACAUCCGCCUGUACCGGCUCACGAGCGUAUUUUACGAGUGAAUACACAUGAAUUUGUUCAGCGAAUCAGCGAAUCAAUCAUGCCGCUUCGAUUACGUUCGAUAUACGUACAAAGCAUAGGCUUGUAACAGCGGAUUUUUCUAAUCUCUGUAUUCUAUAUUCUAAUCUCUGUAUAAUCAGUAUUUUAUAGCCCAUAUUUAUAUGUAUAAUAAUUCUGUUAAGAAACUCGACUAAAACCAGUUUUGAGAGAGAAAGAAAGAUAGAGAAAAGAGAGACUACAGUUCAGUAGAUCUUGACAAUCAAUCUCACAUUCAUGACGUACAUACGUCAGAUUUAUGAUUUAAAUAAAAAAACCUGCAUGUUCCUAUAUUCACAUCAAUUUUGAUCUAAAUAUAUUAUAGUAUAAUUAUUUCUCUAAUAGCUGUCAAAUUCUUUAUGAAUCAUAAAGAUUUAUAAUAAAUAUCUUUGAUUGUUUCAUAUUCUUGAUAAAUAGAAUAGCAAAAUAUAUACCUUAAGCUUUAUUAAGAAAGACGAAGAAUAAAUAUUGACGAAGUUUUCUACCUUUUGUGGAAAAUUAUAACCUCGAUUUGUCUUUUUUUUUAUUAAUUCUUUUUUAAGAAUAUAACUCUUGAUCGUAUUAUUGCACUUGUAGUUGCAAGUUGUAUAAUGAUCAUUUAUAAAGACUGAGUACGAGCUAGUCGGCUUGGCUCCGUUCCCAACGUGUCAUUCCGAAGGUGGUGUGAAUGGGAGAAUGGGAGAAGGAACGAAAGUGCUGCCGCACAGGUUCGCAGCUACGUGUACGAAUACACUUUAAUCUCCACACUUACAACGUUUCCGGAUCGUUAAACGCCGUUCGUCGACGAACUCUUGAGUUCGGGCGAAAAAUUCGCAUCCAAGCUCGAAUCCCGCCGCCGCUCGCCAACGGCUUUAGCCGUGGCGGAAAACGCGUCAUUUUCUCGUCGAAAAGUUUUCGACGAUGCAGAGGAAAAAAAGUUUGGAAGACCGGAAGGUAAAAAUUCUGCAUACACGCGUACAAGGAUUCUUCUUGUAAGAUGACAGGAGAGAUAUAAGGUUUUCGAAAGAUACUUAAUUCGCUAAAAUUUGUUUAAGAACAUUCACGAGAAUGAAAGAAAAAAACUUUCAUUUGUGUAUGUAUCGAUUUGUAAAAUGUGACGAAAAUUGUGUUUUUUUGCCUAAUAAAUAUAACUUCAACAAAUA